CCUACGGGUGGCAGCAGUGGGGAAUUUUGCGCAAUGGGCGAAAGCCUGACGCAGCGACGCCGCGUGUGCGAUGAAGGCCUUUGGGUCGUAAAGCACUGUCAACCGGGACGAAAUCCGAGUCGCCAAUACCGGCUUGGUUUGACGGUACCGGUGGAGGAAGCACCGGCUAACUCUGUGCCAGCAGCCGCGGUAAUACAGAGGGUGCAAACGUUGCUCGGAAUUACUGGGCGUAAAGCGCGUGUAGGCGGCCUACUAAGUCGUCUGUGAAAUCCCAUGGCUCAACCAUGGAAGUGCAGUCGAUACUGGAAGGCUGGAGUGUCGGAGAGGGUGGUGGAAUUCCCAGUGUAGAGGUGAAAUUCGUAGAUAUUGGGAGGAACACCGGUGGCGAAGGCGGCCACCUGGCCGAUAACUGACGCUGAGACGCGAAAGCGUGGGUAGCAAACAGGAUUAGAUACCCUUGUAGUC
RNAcentral lists this ribosomal RNA (465 nucleotides) under uncultured organism. RNAcentral describes it as "bacterial SSU rRNA". It matches the Rfam family "Bacterial small subunit ribosomal RNA", at positions 338 to 795 of the family's 1533-position model. The record is from RNAcentral.